This 368-nucleotide ribosomal RNA is filed under the name uncultured bacterium. RNAcentral describes it as "partial 16S ribosomal RNA". It matches the Rfam family "Bacterial small subunit ribosomal RNA", at positions 338 to 698 of the family's 1533-position model. The record is from RNAcentral.
CCUACGGGUGGCAGCAGUGGGGAAUAUUGCGCAAUGGGCGAAAGCCUGACGCAGCGACGCCGCGUGAGGGAUGAAGGUCUUCGGAUCGUAAACCUCUGUCAGUAGGGAAGAACGGUCACUGUGCUAAUCACCAGUGAAUUGACGGUACCUGCAAAGGAAGCACCGGCCCACUCCGUCCGAGCAGCCGCGGUAAUACGGAGGGUGCGAGCGUUAAUCGGAAUUACUGGGCGUAAAGCGCUCGUAGGCGGUAUGUCAAGUCAAGGGUGAAAUCCCCGCGCUCAACGUGGGAACUGCCUUUGAUACUGGCAGACUGGAGUGUGGGAGAGGAAGGUGGAAUUCCAGGUGUAGGAGUGAAAUCCGUAGAUAUC